UACGUAGGGGGCUAGCGUUAUCCGGAAUUACUGGGCGUAAAGGGUGCGUAGGUGGUUUCUUAAGUCAGAGGUGAAAGGCUACGGCUCAACCGUAGUAAGCCUUUGAAACUGGGAAACUUGAGUGCAGGAGAGGAGAGUGGAAUUCCUAGUGUAGCGGUGAAAUGCGUAGAUAUUAGGAGGAACACCAGUUGCGAAGGCGGCUCUCUGGACUGUAACUGACACUGAGGCACGAAAGCGUGGUGAGCAAACAGGAUUAGAUACCCCGGUAGUCCCUGAGCGGG
RNAcentral lists this ribosomal RNA (281 nucleotides) under uncultured prokaryote. RNAcentral describes it as "partial 16S ribosomal RNA". It matches the Rfam family "Bacterial small subunit ribosomal RNA", at positions 524 to 803 of the family's 1533-position model. The record is from RNAcentral.